UACAUUUUACCUAAACCUAGUUUCACAAACAAAUUUUUUAUUCGGAGGUUUGGUGUUGUGCUCCAAAAAGAAACUAUAUGUGUUUUUGAAAAAAAAAGGCUUGUAAAACCUAGUGUUGGUAGAUUGAGAGCUUUCAUUGAGUAUGUCUUAAGCAAUUAUGUGCAUCUGUUGUGGCUGGGUUAUCUAUUUUUCUAUUUUGAUCUAAGUUAUCUAUUUUAGGGGCGGCUUAAUUCUAAUUAAAUUCACUUAUUACUACUACAAAAAAGUGCAUAGAUAGCGCUUUUUUUUAUCAUAGAUAGCGCUUUUUAAGCGCUAUCUAUGUCUGCGCUAUCUAUUAAUAGAUA
RNAcentral lists this long non-coding RNA (344 nucleotides) under Vigna radiata. RNAcentral's name for it is "long non-coding RNA (VRAD_LNC006932)". Lineage: Eukaryota; Viridiplantae; Streptophyta; Magnoliopsida; Fabales; Fabaceae. The record is from RNAcentral.